This 382-nucleotide ribosomal RNA is filed under the name uncultured eukaryote. Its description in RNAcentral is "partial 18S ribosomal RNA". It matches the Rfam family "Eukaryotic small subunit ribosomal RNA", at positions 592 to 976 of the family's 1831-position model. The record is from RNAcentral.
UGUAAGCGUAUACCAAAGUUGUUGCAGUUAAAACGCUCGUAGUCGGAAUUUGGCAGUUCCGGAUGUGUGCACGUCGUGUGCGCACUUCGCGGGGAUUGCUUUUGUGGUCUUGCGUAGGAUGAGGCACUUUUAUUAGUGAACGUCCUCACGCAACCACUUUUUACUGUGAGAAAAUCAGAGUGCUCAAAGCAGGCAUUUGCCGUGAAUGUAUUAGCAUGGAAUAAUAGAAUAGGACUUGGUUCUAUUUUGUUGGUUUGUUGGGACUGAGUAAUGAUUAAGGGGGACAGUUGGGGGCAUUUGUAUUUCGGUGCUAGAGGUGAAAUUCUUAGAUUACCGAAAGACAAACUGCUGCGAAAGCGUCUGCCAAGGAUGUUUUCAUUGA